UUUAAGCGAGGAGGAGGCUACUCUAGUUAAUACCUAGGGAUAGUGGACGUUACUCGCAGAAUAAGCACCGGCUAACUCUGUGCCAGCAGCCGCGGUAAUACAGAGGGUGCAAGCGUUAAUCGGAUUUACUGGGCGUAAAGCGCGCGUAGGUGGCCAAUUAAGUCAAAUGUGAAAUCCCCGAGCUUAACUUGGGAAUUGCAUUCGAUACUGGUUGGCUAGAGUAUGGGAGAGGAUGGUAGAAUAAGGGCGAAUUCGUUUAAACCUGCAGGACUAG
RNAcentral lists this ribosomal RNA (274 nucleotides) under Acinetobacter sp. FH_3'. Its description in RNAcentral is "partial 16S ribosomal RNA". It matches the Rfam family "Bacterial small subunit ribosomal RNA", at positions 434 to 709 of the family's 1533-position model. Lineage: Bacteria; Pseudomonadati; Pseudomonadota; Gammaproteobacteria; Moraxellales; Moraxellaceae. The record is from RNAcentral.